GAGGGUAUAGCUCAGUGGUAGAGUGUGUGCCUAGCAUGCAUGAGGUCCUAGGUUCAAUCCCCAGUACCUCCA
Molecule: transfer RNA, 72 nt
Filed under: Camelus bactrianus (Bactrian camel)
Lineage: Eukaryota; Metazoa; Chordata; Mammalia; Artiodactyla; Camelidae
Also listed under: 2 other names
Rfam family: tRNA
About the family: Transfer RNA (tRNA) molecules are approximately 80 nucleotides in length.
Source: Rfam by way of RNAcentral